UGUUCAGAGUUGGGAAUCGAACCCACAGUGUUGCGCUUACCGGGCAGAUGCCAUGUUCACUAGGCUUCAUCCC
RNAcentral lists this transfer RNA (73 nucleotides) under Cordylochernes scorpioides. RNAcentral describes it as "tRNA-Thr". The record is from RNAcentral. Lineage: Eukaryota; Metazoa; Arthropoda; Arachnida; Pseudoscorpiones; Chernetidae.